CUUACGGGGGGCAGCAGUGAGGAAUAUUUGUCAAUGGCCGAGAGGCUGAACCAGCCAAGUCGCGUGAGGGAAGACGGCCCUACGGGUUGUAAACCUCUUUUGUCGGGGAGCAAAGCGAACCACGUGUGGUUCAUUGAGAGUACCCGAAGAAAAAGCAUCGGCUAACUGCGUGCCAGCAGCCGCGGUAAUACGGAGGAUGCGAGCGUUAUCCGGAUUUAUUGGGUUAAAAGUGUGCGCAGGCGGAGGGGCAAGUCAGCGGUCAAAUUGCGGGGCUCAACCCCGUACUGCAGUUGAAACUGCAUCCCUUGAGUGAGCGAGAAGUAUGCGGAAUGCGUGGUGUAGCAGUGAAAUGCAUAGAUAUCACGCAGAACUCCGAUUGCGAAGGCAGCAUACCGGCGCGCAACUGACGCUCAUGCACGAAAGCGUGGGUAUCGAAAAGGAUUAGAUACCCGGGUAGUC
Molecule: ribosomal RNA, 459 nt
Filed under: uncultured bacterium
Lineage: Bacteria
Description: partial 16S ribosomal RNA
Rfam family: Bacterial small subunit ribosomal RNA
Source: RNAcentral